CAGCGCUCUCAGGACAUCUCCACCAUGGCCUGGGCUCUGCUGCUCCUCACCCUCCUCACUCAGGGCACAGGGUCCUGGGCCCAGUCUGCCCUGACUCAGCCUGCCUCCGUGUCUGGGUCUCCUGGACAGUCGAUCACCAUCUCCUGCACUGGAACCAGCAGUGACGUUGGUGGUUAUAACUAUGUCUCCUGGUACCAACAGCACCCAGGCAAAGCCCCCAAACUCAUGAUUUAUGAGGUCAGUAAUCGGCCCUCAGGGGUUUCUAAUCGCUUCUCUGGCUCCAAGUCUGGCAACACGGCCUCCCUGACCAUCUCUGGGCUCCAGGCUGAGGACGAGGCUGAUUAUUACUGCAGCUCAUAUACAAGCAGCAGCACUCUCCACACAAUCCUCUUGCCUCAGCCUCCCAAGUCAGCCCAAGGCUGCCCCCUCGGUCACUCUGUUCCCGCCCUCCUCUGAGGAGCUUCAAGCCAACAAGGCCACACUGGUGUGUCUCAUAAGUGACUUCUACCCGGGAGCCGUGACAGUGGCCUGGAAGGCAGAUAGCAGCCCCGUCAAGGCGGGAGUGGAGACCACCACACCCUCCAAACAAAGCAACAACAAGUACGCGGCCAGCAGCUAUCUGAGCCUGACGCCUGAGCAGUGGAAGUCCCACAGAAGCUACAGCUGCCAGGUCACGCAUGAAGGGAGCACCGUGGAGAAGACAGUGGCCCCUACAGAAUGUUCAUAGGUUCUCAACCCUCACCCCCCACCACGGGAGACUAGAGCUGCAGGAUCCCAGGGGAGGGGUCUCUCCUCCCACCCCAAGGCAUCAAGCCCUUCUCCCUGCACUCAAUAAACCCUCAAUAAAUAUUCUC
RNAcentral lists this long non-coding RNA (854 nucleotides) under Homo sapiens (human). RNAcentral describes it as "long non-coding RNA NONHSAT192112.1". The stretch from base 1 to 74 matches the Rfam family "mir-650 microRNA precursor family". The record is from RNAcentral. Lineage: Eukaryota; Metazoa; Chordata; Mammalia; Primates; Hominidae.